Bos taurus (domestic cattle) is the source of this 1501-nucleotide long non-coding RNA. The record is from Ensembl. NCBI's taxonomy places the organism in Eukaryota, Metazoa, Chordata, Mammalia, Artiodactyla, Bovidae.
AUCCUCAGAACCUGGUGCCAUCACAGGCUCUCCUUGAGGUCUGCUGAAUGAGGAUAACGCCUAACCAACAUCCCAGGGUUCAGAAUUAUCAGCCUGCUGACCCUGCAGGGCCUUACCCCGGUUGUCAAGACUACCUCCCAGUUUCCUGACCACAUGUUGAAACCUGAGGUUAAGUAAAGUUGAUCUGCAGGCUGAGGCUGGGCUGCAAUCUUCUAGGAGGUUAUAUCAGCUCAUUCUAACACUGUGCAGUGCAUAGUUUCAGCCUCAUCGGUGAUAACCUUGCUCUGCUGCCCAGAGCUGAUAAGAAACAUCACCCAGGGAGGAUGAAUGCCUCUUCUUCUAAUCAGAAUGAAAAUAUUGCUAAAUAUAUUCAUAAUUCUUUGCAAACAUCAUUGGAUACUGUUCGGGAUAUGUUUUUGAGUUCCCUAUCACCGUCUCACAAAGUUGUACCCUUCAAGAUCAGCUCUAGACCAUCAGUCUGAGAGUUACUCUUUAGAAUCAGGAACAGGAAUCAAAGACAAAAAGAAGAUAACAUUGUUCCUAGAACUUGUUAAAGAAGACUAAGAAAUUGGGGAUGUUAGUGAUUUUUAAGUAUCUGUCUUUAAUUCCCUUUCCUCACCCCAAAGUGAACUGAGAACAGGGACAGAAACAUGUAAUGCAAAGAUGAUUAGGGUUAAGUGGAAAACUACCCAUCUGGACUGAAGGAAGGCUUGGCAAAAUAUAAAUAUGAAAAGGACUUUCUAAUCCCCGGGUCACAACAAUUUUCAAGUCUGUAAGGAUCAUUUCUGAGAAACUGUUGAGGGUUGAAGAAGAGUCAGAAAGCUAAAAAGUAACCCAUUUCCCAAUGGCUCUGAAGGAAGAUGCAAAAAGAAGAUGCCAUUGCACAAAAAACACCUAAAUUUGGCAAGAGAACUUCUUUAUAGGAAAGUGAGCAAGUAGAUCUGCUAAACAAGAUAUCUGCUUCAGGACUCAGAUGCUCUGAGGUACACAAAAUCUUCAGAGUGAAGGCUGAAGAUAGCCACAGACGGCAGCUGCUGGCGGUGUGCAGCCUGUAACCUGCGCUGGAUCACCCUCAGCAGCUUCCCACACAGUUUCCAAGUGAUGAAUAGAAACAGCCAUGGCAGAUGCACCCUGCCACCCAACCUGGGAGCCCAUCGGACACCUGGUGGCCAAAAUAACAGGCCUGCCUAAGCUUUACCAGGCUUACCUACAGGCAAACUUGGGAGCUGGGGAGGGUCAUGGUUCUGCAUAGUACACAGUCUCUGGAUUUCCUCUCUCUACCAAUUACCAUCCAUAUAGCUCAGAAGUCACAAGUUGGAAGCCUGUGAAGCAGACUCAAUCAUAAUAUACAUUGUUUGGUUUGAAUAGUGCUUAAGCAUUUAAAAUAUUAGCUCUCAAUUUUUAACUAUUAGGUAGUGUCGUAUACGGAGAAGGCAAUGGUGCCCCACUCCAGGAUGCCCACAUGCCCACAGGAUGGAGGAGCCUGGUGGGCUGCAGUCCA